ACGUAGGGUGCGAGCGUUAAUCGGAAUUACUGGGCGUAAAGCGUGCGCAGGCGGUUGUGCAAGACAGAUGUGAAAUCCCCGGGCUCAACCUGGGAACUGCAUUUGUGACUGCACGACUGGAGUGCGGCAGAGGGGGGUGGAAUUCCACGUGUAGCAGUGAAAUGCGUAGAGAUGUGGAGGAACACCGAUGGCGAAGGCAGCCCCCUGGGACAUGACUGACGCUCAGGUACGAAAGCGUGGGGAGCAAACAG
Molecule: ribosomal RNA, 251 nt
Filed under: uncultured prokaryote
Description: partial 16S ribosomal RNA
Rfam family: Bacterial small subunit ribosomal RNA
Source: RNAcentral